Molecule: ribosomal RNA, 218 nt
Filed under: uncultured bacterium
Lineage: Bacteria
Description: partial 16S ribosomal RNA
Rfam family: Bacterial small subunit ribosomal RNA
Source: RNAcentral
UACGUAGGGCGCAAGCGUUGUCCGGAAUUAUUGGGCGUAAAGAGCUCGUAGGCGGUUUGUCGCGUCUGCUGUGAAAUCCUCAGGCCUCAACCUGGGGCUUGCAGUGGGUACGGGCAGACUAGAGUGCGGUAGGGGUGACUGGAAUUCCGUGGUGUAGACGGUGGAAUGCGCAGAUAUCAGGAGGACACCGAUGGCGAAGGCAGGUCACUGGGCCGCAA